CCUACGGGUGGCAGCAGUCGAGAAUCAUUCACAAUGGGGGAAACCCUGAUGGUGCGACGCCGCGUGGGGGAAUGAAGGUCUUCGGAUUGUAAACCCCUGUCAUGUGGGAGCAAAUUAAAAAGAUAGUACCACAAGAGGAAGAGACUGCUAACUCUGUGCCAGCAGCCGCGGUCAUACAGAGGUCUCAAUCGUUGUUUGGAAUCACUGGGCGUAAAGCGUUCGUAGGCUGUUUAGUAAGUAGUGUGUUAAAGGCGCGGGCUAAACCCGCUGACGGCUGAUGAUACUGCGAGACUAGAGUAAUGGAGGGGGAACCGGAAUUCUCGGUGUAGCAGUGAAAUGCGUAGAUAUCGAGAGGAACACUCGUUGCGAAGGCGGGUUCCUGGACAUUAACUGACGCUGAGGCACGAAGGCCAGGGGAGCGAAAGGGAUUAGAUACCCUGGUAGUC
This 446-nucleotide ribosomal RNA is filed under the name uncultured bacterium. RNAcentral describes it as "partial 16S ribosomal RNA". It matches the Rfam family "Bacterial small subunit ribosomal RNA", at positions 338 to 795 of the family's 1533-position model. The record is from RNAcentral.